GGGGAAUAUUGGGCAAUGGGCGAAAGCCUGAUCCAGCAAUGCCGCGUGGGUGAUGAAGGCCUUCGGGUUGUAAAGCCCUGUGGGGGGAGACGAAUAAGUGCAGCCUAAUACGUUGCAUGAUGACGGUAUCUCCUUAGCAAGCCCCGGCUAACUCUGUGCCAGCAGCCGCGGUAAUACAGAGGUGGCAAGCGUUGUUCGGAAUUACUGGGCGUAAAGGGCGCGUAGGCGGCCUUCUAAGUCGGACGUGAAAUCCCCAGGCUUAACUUGGGAACUGCGUCCGAUACUGGAGGGCUCGAGUGCGGGAGAGGGAUGUGGAAUUCCAGGUGUAGCGGUGAAAUGCGUAGAUAUCUGGAGGAACACCGGUGGCGAAGGCGGCAUCCUGGACCGACACUGACGCUGAUGCGCGAAAGCCAGGGGAGCAAAC
Molecule: ribosomal RNA, 424 nt
Filed under: uncultured bacterium
Lineage: Bacteria
Description: bacterial SSU rRNA
Rfam family: Bacterial small subunit ribosomal RNA
Source: RNAcentral